RNAcentral lists this ribosomal RNA (484 nucleotides) under uncultured bacterium. RNAcentral describes it as "partial 16S ribosomal RNA". It matches the Rfam family "Bacterial small subunit ribosomal RNA", at positions 29 to 507 of the family's 1533-position model. The record is from RNAcentral.
AUUGAACGCUGGCGGCAUGCUUUACACAUGCAAGUCGAACGGCAGCGCGGGCUUCGGCCUGGCGGCGAGUGGCGAACGGGUGAGUAAUACAUCGGAACGUGCCCAGUAGUGGGGGAUAGCUCGGCGAAAGCCGGAUUAAUACCGCAUAAGACCUGAGGGUGAAAGCGGGGGGUCUUCGGACCUCGCGCUAUUGGAGCGGCCGAUGGCAGAUUAGCUAGUUGGUGGGGUAAAGGCCUACCAAGGCGACGAUCUGUAGCUGGUCUGCGAGGACGACCAGCCACACUGGGACUGAGACACGGCCCAGACUCCUACGGGAGGCAGCAGUGGGGAAUUUUGGACAAUGGGCGAAAGCCUGAUCCAGCAAUGCCGCGUGUGUGAUGAAGGCCUUCGGGUUGUAAAGCACUUUUGGCGGGAACGAAAAGGACUGUGCCAAUACCACGGUUCGAUGACGGUACCCGCAGAAUAAGCACCGGCUAACUACGUG